Non-coding RNA from Acanthosepion pharaonis, 99 nucleotides. The record is from the annotation of a GenBank genome assembly. Lineage: Eukaryota; Metazoa; Mollusca; Cephalopoda; Sepiida; Sepiidae.
CGUUAAAACACUGAUUCCCGUACGAUCAUCGAAAUUAAGCAACGUCGAUCCUGGUCAGUACCUAGGUGGGUGACCGGUUGGGAAUAUCAGGUGCUGUAA